CUUGCUUUCAAUGGUGGCAGCUUCUUCCUUGCUGACAGCAAGGAUUUCGAAGCCGCGCUCGCGGUACGUGUUGUUCAACUCAAUAAGGUGGGG
Molecule: transfer RNA, 93 nt
Filed under: Planctomycetaceae bacterium
Lineage: Bacteria; Pseudomonadati; Planctomycetota; Planctomycetia; Planctomycetales; Planctomycetaceae
Description: tRNA-Val
Source: RNAcentral